GAAAAUUAUGUCGAGCAAACCCAGCAAACACCAAAUAUAAAUGCAAUAUAACGUGGGAGUAACAUGUAAUGUAACAGAUGUUACACUCUAUUUAUAUUAUAGUUACGAAACUUUACUACAUAUAUGUGAUGUAACAAAGUUAUGAAGCUAUAAUAUUACUCCGUUAUUUGUAUGUUACAAUAACCGAACAGUGAUGUAACCACAAUGUUGCGUGGUUACACAACAACUGUUUUAUUUAUGUUAUAUGGAUAUUAUAAAAUUUGAAUCUUGUGAGACUCUAACCUCAAUCGCACAAUGUACAUCUCGUGCUAUUAGGCGCGCUUUCCGCUAGUGGAUGCUAUAAUGACGAAAGAGAGACGUUGUUUUCUUGCAACUUGACUUUAAUCAGGAUUCUGCCAAUUAUUCUUACAUCAUUCGGACAACUGUUCUUCUUAAAAUUUAAAAGAACGUAAAGAAUAACUGAAAUUUAUAAAAGCUGAAGAAAUUUUCACAAGGAUUAGAACAGCCUGCGACCACAUCAUUGGCAGAAAACUGAACUUAAAUGGAAGCGCUUGCACUCUCAUGUCACUAUCAUGUCCUGACAAUUUCGGAUUUUAUAAAACUAUAGGAGAUGUUGUGAUUGACGUUGAAAUUGUGAUUGACAUCUGGAGCAGAGCUAUAAUUUUGUUUAACAUUACGUGAAGUUUAUUUAAUGUUUUUCUCUUAUUUUCCCUCGUUUUUUGUUUUUAAAAGUUAUUUUUAAAAUAUUUUACUAAUAAUCAUAAAGUAUAAUAUGUAUAUAUUU
Molecule: long non-coding RNA, 784 nt
Filed under: Monomorium pharaonis (pharaoh ant)
Lineage: Eukaryota; Metazoa; Arthropoda; Insecta; Hymenoptera; Formicidae
Description: uncharacterized LOC118644697, transcript variant X1
Source: RNAcentral